Beta vulgaris subsp. vulgaris (sugar beet) is the source of this 1341-nucleotide long non-coding RNA. RefSeq lists it as uncharacterized. NCBI's taxonomy places the organism in Eukaryota, Viridiplantae, Streptophyta, Magnoliopsida, Caryophyllales, Amaranthaceae. The transcript has 2 exons. The record is from RefSeq and is a predicted model, not a curated record.
ACAAGAAUCCGCACUUUUAGCGUCUGAAUUUACCAUCCGGCCCAAUCAGACGCAAAUUAGCGUCCGUUUUUGUAAAAUUAGCAUCCGUUUUGAAACGAACGCUAAUUAGCGUCCGUCUUUGUAAAUUAGCGUCCGUCUUUGGAGCGGACGCUAAUUAACGUCCGUCCUUCAAGUUUACCGUCUAACAUGGCGGACGGUAUUUAAUGGUCAUAAAGAAAAACACGACCCACCUUAUUUCCAACCCUAUCUCUCACCUCACAUCACGAUUCACAACCGUCCUCUUUCUUCUUCUUCUUUCUCGCUCUUCCUUUCUAUUUUUUUUCUCUCUCACCGUCGACGGUAUUCAAUGGCGAUCUUCUUGCUGUCUUUGCUCAGUACGAAAUUAUUAGCUUUCAUUUGUUUCAAAUUUUUUAGUUAAUUUAUAUGUUUCGUCAAAUUUUCAAUUCGUUAGUAAUUUUGUGUUUUUUGAUUGAAUUCUUUGCAGAUAUGGCGAAAUGGUGGAAUGUUAAUCUUGUUAGAGAAAGUCCAAAGGUUUUGCGUUUGUGGCGUAUGAGGAUCAAAGAAGUACAACUCUAGCCCGCACUUUCUCUGAUUUGAAGGAGGUUCGAUCGAUUUCUGAGCCAAUCACCGUCGCAGCUACAGAUGAUAACAACAGCAACAGCAUGAGAGGCUUACUAUCAGGAUGGGGACUUUCUCUUAAAGGAAGGUCAUGUGACAGCUACCAUGCUGCAGCCGCUCUGCUUUACCGCAAGGCCGACGCAGCAUUCUUAUGCAGUCCAUGCUGUCACAAGAGCAGAUAAGAUCACUUUCUCAAAUGGCAAGUUCAAUUGCAGCUUGCUUGAUUAGGAUGUUCUGCAGAGAUAGUGUUUUUUUUAGUUUUACCCUUUUGUUUUUUUUUUUUUUUGUUUUGAGUGGGUGAGUCGGGUCGUGUGGGUGAUGGGGGCUGGGUCGUUGGUUGUGUUAGGGUUUGGGUGGGGUGGGUGGUGGGUUAGGCGGGCCCAGUGGGGGUUGGGGCAAAAUAGGUUCCAGAUUUAUUUAGUUAUUCAUUUAAUUCUUGUUAAUAAUUGUUUUUUUUCUGGUUAAUUUCAUUAAUUUCUUUGUUUUUGUUGAUUUGCAGGGUUAUGAGAUUUGCGUUUGAGUUCCAGAUUUGAAGUUGGUUUCGAUCCCGAUACCAGAUUUGAAGUCCGUUUUGGUUCUAGAUUUUUGUUGUGUAGUUUAAAGUGUACAUGUAAUUAUAUGAAAUUUUUAUUAGAUUUUGUUCUAAGUAUACUAGAAUUUAGUUCUAGAAUUAUUUUUUCACUUGUAUCUACAUUUAUUAUCAAUAAUAAUUGAAUUGAUUAA